UAGGGAAUCUUCCGCAAUGGACGCAAGUCUGACGGAGCAACGCCGCGUGAGUGAAGAAGGAUUUCAGUUCGUAAAACUCUGUUGUUAGAGAAGAACAGCGCAUAGAGUAACUGUUAUGCGUGUGACGGUAUCUAACCAGAAAGCCACGGCUAACUACGUGCCAGCAGCCGCGGUAAUACGUAGGUGGCAAGCGUUGUCCGGAUUUAUUGGGCGUAAAGCGAGCGCAGGCGGUCAAUUAAGUCUGAUGUGAAAGCCCCCGGCUCAACCGGGGAGGGUCAUUGGAAACUGGUUGACUUGAGUGCAGAAGAGGAGAGUGGAAUUCCAUGUGUAGCGGUGAAAUGCGUAGAUAUAUGGAGGAACACCAGUGGCGAAGGCGACUCUCUGGUCUGUAACUGACGCUGAGGUUCGAAAGCGUGGGUAGCAAACAGG
This 429-nucleotide ribosomal RNA is filed under the name Bacteroidota bacterium. RNAcentral describes it as "Bacteroidetes bacterium partial 16S ribosomal RNA". It matches the Rfam family "Bacterial small subunit ribosomal RNA", at positions 355 to 776 of the family's 1533-position model. Lineage: Bacteria; Pseudomonadati; Bacteroidota. The record is from RNAcentral.